Molecule: ribosomal RNA, 253 nt
Filed under: uncultured bacterium
Lineage: Bacteria
Description: partial 16S ribosomal RNA
Rfam family: Bacterial small subunit ribosomal RNA
Source: RNAcentral
UACAGAGGGUGCGAGCGUUAAUCGGAAUUACUGGGCGUAAAGCGCGCGUAGGCGGCUUUGCAAGUCGGGUGUGAAAUCCCCAGGCUUAACCUGGGAACUGCAUUCGAGACUGCAUUGCUAGAGUAUGGGAGAGGGAUGUGGAAUUCCAGGUGUAGCGGUGAAAUGCGUAGAUAUCUGGAGGAACACCGGUGGCGAAGGCAGCAUCCUGGACCGGUAUUGACGCUGAGGCGCGAAAGCCAGGGGAGCAAACGGG